CUGGUUCCAUAGAACUACGUACGGCUUGAUCCCCUAUAAAUAUAGGGGUACGUAGGCACAUUGGGGGAUCAUGAGUUGAGAGCACGUGAGACCAACUCAAAACCCUAAUCUCAGCCACCCCCUAAAACAAACAACCACCACUCUCCGGCGACCAAAACCACCGUCACGGAUCUUGAUUCCGGCCGUGAACCUCAUCUUUGUUGAUUACCAAAUUCCUCUAUCAAC
RNAcentral lists this long non-coding RNA (225 nucleotides) under Daucus carota (carrot). Its description in RNAcentral is "long non-coding RNA (DCAR_LNC006140)". The record is from RNAcentral. Lineage: Eukaryota; Viridiplantae; Streptophyta; Magnoliopsida; Apiales; Apiaceae.